GUCCCACAGCCUGUUUGACUGCAGAGGAGUUAGAGACUGCACCAGGACCCGGGACACCGCCCCACCCAGAACAAUGGCUCCUGAUGACAAAGACCCCAGGACUGCAGUGGGCACGCUCACUGCAGUCCAGCUGCAGUCCCACCUGAAGAUGGAGCCCAAGACUCUGGGGGCCAUCCAGAUCGUGAUUGGAGCGCUGAUCCUCUGCCUCAGUUCCUCAGUGCUCCAGAUCCACGAGGUCCACUUCACUGGGGACGUGGCUCUGUUCCUAAUCGUGGUGCUGCAGGUGACGCUGUCGGGCUCCGUGCUGGUCCACAGUGGGAGGAGGCCCACCAUGUUCUGGGUGAAGUUUGUGCUGGUGCUUCACCUCAUCAGUGCAGCGUUCACCACGGCCGCCCUGGGUCUGAUGUCCAAACACCUGCCGUACCGUCAGGACUCCUACCACUGUGAACACUGUCGCCGCCUGGAGCUCCACGCUGUGGUACGUGCUUUACAAACCAGCGUAGAUCACAUGGUGCUGCUCUGACUCUGACCCCCAAUUUCCACCGUAUCCGAAACUGCUACGUAACUGCUUCCGAACACUGCUACGUAAC
This 590-nucleotide long non-coding RNA is filed under the name Gouania willdenowi (blunt-snouted clingfish). RNAcentral describes it as "lncRNA (ENSGWIG00000002331.1)". Lineage: Eukaryota; Metazoa; Chordata; Actinopteri; Blenniiformes; Gobiesocidae. The record is from RNAcentral.